Molecule: unclassified non-coding RNA, 205 nt
Filed under: soil metagenome
Description: partial contains 5.8S ribosomal RNA, internal transcribed spacer 2, and large subunit ribosomal RNA
Source: RNAcentral
AACACUGUUAACCUGCGGUACCUGCGGAAGGAUCAUUACCGAGUGUGGUCCCAUAAGGGGCGCCUCCCGUCCUUUGCAGGGCCUUUAGGGGCUUUUUGACUUUGCUUCGGCGGGCUUGCCCCGCCGGAACACCCUCAAGAAAAUCUUUAUGAACCGUUUGUCUGAGUUGCUUGCGAAUAAAAACAAAACUUUCAACAAUGGAUCU